This 105-nucleotide small RNA is filed under the name Salmonella enterica subsp. enterica serovar Chester. RNAcentral's name for it is "partial RtT sRNA". It matches the Rfam family "RtT RNA", at positions 1 to 101 of the family's 130-position model. From Rfam's summary of the family: This family represents a bacterial cis-regulatory element known as RtT RNA. The exact function of RtT is unknown although it is thought that it may be involved in changing the cellular response in relation to amino acid starvation. The record is from RNAcentral. Lineage: Bacteria; Pseudomonadati; Pseudomonadota; Gammaproteobacteria; Enterobacterales; Enterobacteriaceae. RNAcentral also lists the same sequence under 1 other name.
UGCAUCUGAAGCCUGACGAGGAUGAGAACCUCCGGGGGCAGGAGGUUCGACUCGAGCGCAGCGAGAGAACGUUGCGUCAGCAACGGCCCGCAGGGCGAGCCACGC